UGCUGCCUUGAAACACUUGAG
Non-coding RNA from Caenorhabditis elegans, 21 nucleotides. Lineage: Eukaryota; Metazoa; Nematoda; Chromadorea; Rhabditida; Rhabditidae. The record is from Ensembl.